This 290-nucleotide long non-coding RNA is filed under the name Hordeum vulgare. Its description in RNAcentral is "long non-coding RNA (HVUL_LNC018505)". The record is from RNAcentral. Lineage: Eukaryota; Viridiplantae; Streptophyta; Magnoliopsida; Poales; Poaceae.
GAUUCACUCUUUGACUUAGUCUUGAUCAACCUUGUGUCUUUAUGACCAAUCUUUGGAUAAAACCUUGAAUACCACCUUGGUCAUCAUAUAAACUCCUUGAAACCAACAGAUGGACUUCAAGAAGUGCCUACAGACAAAUCCUUCAAAUAUAACUCAAGGCAACCAUUAGUCCAUAUGGAUUAUCAUCAAUUACCAAAACCACGUAUGGAGAAAUGUGCUCUAACACCCGGCAAUGCUCGAAUCUCAUGCGUGAAACGAGGCACUAUCCCUUGCGACAAAUUUUCAUGUUG